AAAGGGUUGCUGAUGAAGUUGCAAGGAAAGGAUGUGAAGGUUAUGAAUGCAUGGGAUACUUACCCAAUAGACGUUUUUAAAAAGGAAAUUUAAUAACAUCAAAAAUUUGUCAUCCCCUCGUUCCCACCCAAAAACCCUCGAGUCCAUCGUGAUAAUAUUAGGCAAAACACGCACACCCCCACCCUCUCCCAAAAACCUAUUUUUUCCAUCUCCCAACAUUUCUCUCUUCUCUCUCUGGACAUCCUGUUGCCCUUCUCUUUAUCUAGAAAUGGAGUCUCUUGACCCAGCUGCCUGCUUCAUGGACGACUUACUGGACUUUGCUUCUGAUAUAGGAGAGGAAGAAGAUGAAGAAGACCACAACAAACCCAGAAAGGCCCUUCCUCCCUUUAAGCCCCCACCAAAUGGCCUUGCCGUUCCCCCUCCUCCUUUCGAUGUUUUCGACCACCCAGAUGAUUCUACCCGUCCGUUACCUGUAAGUUUAUGCCUCCAUCAUCAUCGUCAUAGCUUUUUUAUCUUCCUUUUAAGGGUUAUAAGGGCUCAAAACUACCCAGUUACGUCGUCUUGCGGGUGUUUUUGGGCUCGAAUCGCCCUGACUCGGCUGGUCUUUCCUAGGGUUGUUGCCGAGUUAACUCGGGCGGUUGUGUCCGAGUUUUUAAGCCAGAAUGACUCGCCUUGACGGCGACUCGGCCGAGUCAAAGUAGACGGCAUUGAAUGGUACACGCACUGAUAUUUUUUGAACAAGUUGUUGAUGACUCUCUGAUUUGAUUUUGUUUCUUUUAGAUAGCCACCCUCACACUGUUGCUUUGAAUGGACAAUUCUGACCACUUGGAACUUUCGGAUUUACGAACACGUGAGAGUAAAAAGUGGGAUGUUUUUUGAGGGUACUUAUGACAAUUCAAAGGUUUAAUGGUUCUUAAUUGUCGUGAGCUGUGGUUCACGAGGUUAGACUUGUACUCAAUAAAUGUCCAGCAAAAUUUAACCUUUCUCUGGCUGUAAAUUGACAAGGGCACUCACCCCCCACUUGAAAAGACAACAUCAUCCUAAGGCUUAUAAAAAAUCUCCACUGUGCCUCAACAGUUCAACACCUUAUUUCAGCUAAGGCCAAUAUAUCACAUGGGUGGCCCACAUGAAAAUGGGGCCCCCAAUUAUAGACAGUACGAGUCCUUCGAGUUACUGAGUUAACAUUUGUCAACUCGUGCCCUUUUUCUUAUCUCAAAUGGGGUUUUAUGGGGUUCUGGAUUCUAAUAUUUCCCAUUUUCGUUCAGGAAUUUGCAGAGGAAGAGCUUGAAUGGUUAUCUAACAAAGACGCCUUCCCAGCCGUGGAAACAUUUGUCGACAUUUUGUCGGAGAACCCGGGUAGCCUCCCCAAGCACCGGAGCCCAGUUUCGGUGCUGGAGAACAGCAGUACAAGCAGCACCAGCAACAGCGGGAAUAGCGGCACAAAUGGCAGCGUUAUAAUGAAUUACUGCCGCAGUCCUCAGGUGCCUGUCAAGGCCAGAAGCAAGCAUCACCGCCGGCGGCGCCGCGACCUCCAAGCCCAACAGUGCUGGUGGAGUCUGGAGAAUUUGAAGACAGUGAAGCCAUCCGUAACAUCAUCGACAAUGGGUAGAAAAUGCCAGCAUUGCGGUGCUGAAAAGACCCCUCAAUGGCGGGCCGGGCCGCUGGGGCCCAAAACCUUGUGCAAUGCCUGUGGAGUGAGGUAUAAGUCCGGGCGGCUAGUGCCCGAGUACCGGCCCGCAAGUAGCCCGACGUUCUGCGUUGAAUUGCAUUCAAAUUCGCAUAGGAAAGUUAUGGAGAUGAGGAAGCAAAAGCAGAUGAUGGGAUUGAUGGUUGUAAAACCUAUGGAGAAAGGUUAGGGCAGCAGUGAUUGGCGCCCCUCUUUUUUUUUUUGGUUUUUCUGUUUAC
This 1905-nucleotide unclassified non-coding RNA is filed under the name Hevea brasiliensis (rubber tree). Lineage: Eukaryota; Viridiplantae; Streptophyta; Magnoliopsida; Malpighiales; Euphorbiaceae. The record is from RNAcentral.